GCUGUAAUCUCUGCUACUGGGGGAGGCUGAGGCUGGUGGAUCACUUGAGCUUGGGAGUACUAAACAUCAGUAGUACUAAAGUUAAUUGGAUAUCUUCACUAAGUUUCACACCAAUGGGUGAACACCCAGGAGUGGGCAGCCACCAGGAAGCCUAAGGAGGGACAAAUCAGCCCAGGUCAGAAAUAAAGCAGGCCAAAGCUUCUAUGCCAAUAAGCAAUGGGAUCAGGCACACAAGAAUGCACUGCAUAUCUAGCCUUGGAAAGAUAGGAAGGCUCAGUCUCAA
Molecule: signal recognition particle RNA, 283 nt
Filed under: Vombatus ursinus (common wombat)
Lineage: Eukaryota; Metazoa; Chordata; Mammalia; Diprotodontia; Vombatidae
Description: Metazoan signal recognition particle RNA (ENSVURG00010016993.1)
Rfam family: Metazoan signal recognition particle RNA
About the family: The signal recognition particle (SRP) is a universally conserved ribonucleoprotein. It is involved in the co-translational targeting of proteins to membranes.
Source: Rfam by way of RNAcentral